This is a long non-coding RNA of Triticum dicoccoides, 270 nucleotides long. RefSeq lists it as uncharacterized. The transcript has 3 exons. NCBI's taxonomy places the organism in Eukaryota, Viridiplantae, Streptophyta, Magnoliopsida, Poales, Poaceae. The record is from RefSeq and is a predicted model, not a curated record.
UGUUGGCAGGUUCGUCCAGCACACCGGAGGUCCUGGAGCGGAUGACAACCAUCGCGUCCAAGAUACUGCAGCUCGAGGAGACCAUCGCCAUUCAGAGCAAUGAAAUCUGUAGAAGGCCAUGAUGGGAAAGUGGUGGACUCCAUGAAGGAUGUUACUUGCUAUAUCAGUUAUGUUGUCAUGACCGGGAAGUUUUCUUUUCUUUACGCAACGCAUGUGGUUACUGAUUGGUUGACAUCUCAAUUUGAACCUUAUUUUAUUCCUGCAAGUUAG